Molecule: ribosomal RNA, 467 nt
Filed under: uncultured bacterium
Lineage: Bacteria
Description: partial 16S ribosomal RNA
Rfam family: Bacterial small subunit ribosomal RNA
Source: RNAcentral
GACGAACGCUGGCGGCGUGCUUAACACAUGCAAGUCGAACGUUGACGACCGAGCUUGCUCGGUCUGAUUAGUGGCGAACGGGUGAGUAACACGUGAGCAACCUGCCCUUCACUCUGGGAUAACCUCGGGAAAUCGGGGCUAAUACCGGAUAUGAGCUCCUGUCGCAUGGCGGGUGUUGGAAAGUGUUUCGGUGAAGGAUGGGCUCGCGGCCUAUCAGUUUGUUGGUGAGGUAGUGGCUCACCAAGGCGAUGACGGGUAGCCGGCCUGAGAGGGCGACCGGCCACACUGGGACUGAGACACGGCCCAGACUCCUACGGGAGGCAGCAGUGGGGAAUAGUGCACAAUGGGCGAAAGCCGGAUGCAGCGACGCCGCGUGAGGGAUGACGGCCUUCGGGUUGUAAACCUCUUUCAGCAGGGAAGAAGCGAAAGUGACGGUACCUGCAGAAGAAGCGCCGGCUAACUACGUG